CAGGUAGGGAAUCUUCCACAAUGGGCGAAAGCCUGAUGGAGCAACGCCGCGUGUGUGAUGAAGGGUUUCGGCUCGUAAAACACUGUUGUAAGAGAAGAAUGACAUUGAGAGUAACUGUUCAAUGUGUGACGGUAUCUUACCAGAAAGGAACGGCUAAAUACGUGCCGG
This 168-nucleotide ribosomal RNA is filed under the name uncultured bacterium. RNAcentral describes it as "partial 16S rRNA". It matches the Rfam family "Bacterial small subunit ribosomal RNA", at positions 351 to 511 of the family's 1533-position model. The record is from RNAcentral.